GUAUAAUGCCUGGGCCCACCUCAACGCAGCCCUAUAUGACUCUUGGAGCUAGAACUGCCUGGACCUGUGACCGUUCUGUGAGCCAACUUGGUGCAACAAUAUUUUGCAGAGAUGGAGCCCUCCUGAAGGUUACACCUAAAUUCAUUGGCAGCACAUCUUUCAGGUUUGUUGGAAAUCCCUGUGCUCACCGAUAGAAAAUCUUCCUGGGUAAGGAAUUUUGUUCUCUG
Hyla sarda is the source of this 227-nucleotide long non-coding RNA. RefSeq lists it as uncharacterized. The transcript has 3 exons. NCBI's taxonomy places the organism in Eukaryota, Metazoa, Chordata, Amphibia, Anura, Hylidae. The record is from RefSeq and is a predicted model, not a curated record.